RNAcentral lists this ribosomal RNA (860 nucleotides) under bacterium enrichment culture clone B31295. RNAcentral describes it as "bacterial SSU rRNA". It matches the Rfam family "Bacterial small subunit ribosomal RNA", at positions 8 to 916 of the family's 1533-position model. The record is from RNAcentral.
AGAGUUUGAUCCUGGCUCAGGAUGAACGCUAGCGGCGCACCUAAAACAUGCAAGUCGUACACUCGCAAGAGUGUGGCAAACGGGUGAGUAACGCGUAGGAAUCUGCCUCAAUCCGGGAAAUACCCUGCCGAAAGGUGGGUUAAUGUCCCAUGUGCUCGCAAGAGUAAAGCUCCGGCGGAUUGAGAGGAGCCUGCGUCCUAUCAGCUUGUUGGUGGGGUAAUUGCCUACCAAGGCUAUGACGGGUAGCUGGUCUUAGGGGAUGAUCAGCCACAAUGGCACUGAGACACGGGCCAUACACCUACGGGUGGCAGCAGUUAGGAAUCGUACACAAUGGACGAAAGUCUGAUGUCGUGACGCCGCGUGAAGGAUGAAGGUUUACGGAUCGUAAACUUCUUUUCUGUAGGAUGAUUAUGACAGUACUACAGGAAUAAGCACCGGCUAACUACGUGCCAGAAGCCUCGGUAAUACGUAGGGUGCGAGCGUUAUCCGGAAUUAUUGGGCGUAAAGAGCGCGUAGGCGGUCUAUCAAGUCCAGUCUUAAAGCUUGCAGCCUAACUGCAGAGAUGGACUGGAAACUGUUGGACUUGAGUAAUUGCAGGGGUGAGCGGAAUCUACGGUGUAGGGGUAAAAUCCAUUGAUAUCGUAGAGAACACCAAUGGCGAAGGCAGCUCACUAGGCAUUCACUGACGCUGAGGCGCGAAAGCGUGGGUAGCGAACGGGAUUAGAUACCCCGGUAGUCCACGCCGUAAACGAUGCGAACUAGGUAUUGGGAUUUUCGACCGUCUUGGUACCGAAGCUAACGCGUUAAGUUCGCCGCCUGGGGAGUACGAGCGCAAGCUUAAAACUCAAAUGAAUUGACGG